Ornithorhynchus anatinus (platypus) is the source of this 72-nucleotide non-coding RNA. NCBI's taxonomy places the organism in Eukaryota, Metazoa, Chordata, Mammalia, Monotremata, Ornithorhynchidae. The record is from Rfam.
AGCAGCGUGGCUCAGUGGAAAGAGCAUGGGCUUGGGAGUCAGAGGUCAUGGGUUCGAAUCCCGGCUCUGCCA